This is a long non-coding RNA of Haemorhous mexicanus (house finch), 2041 nucleotides long. RefSeq lists it as uncharacterized. The record is from RefSeq and is a predicted model, not a curated record. NCBI's taxonomy places the organism in Eukaryota, Metazoa, Chordata, Aves, Passeriformes, Fringillidae. The transcript has 4 exons.
UCCCGGGCACCGCGGGCUGCCCUCGGGGAUCGGGGGUGGUAGCCGCUCUGCCCGCGCUGCGGAUCCCCGGGACAGGGCGGGCGGCUGUCACUGCGGCUGUCACCGCGGGCUUUUCCUGUCACCGAGCCUGGCUUAGAACGGCCUGGCUUGGAACGGAACUUAGAGAUCAUCCCGUUCCAUCCCCUGCCAUGGGCAGGGACAAGUACCGCUAGACUGGGUUUCAAGCCCCGUCCAUCCUGGACAUGAACACUUCCAGGAAUCGGACAGCCACAGUUUAUCUGGGCAGCCUAUGCGAGGGCCUCACAGGGAAGAAUUCCUUCCCAAAAUCCCAUGUGACCCUGCCUUCUGUCAGUGUGAAGCCAUUCCCCCUUGUCCCGUCACUCCAGCCCUUGUGGUCUGGAAAGACAGUCCUGCUGUCACUGCUGCAUCCAAGAGGGAUAAGGGGCAAAGAGCUGGCACCAGCUUCUCCUAAGUGCACACGUGGGGAAGCACCCUGUAGCUGUGGCCUGGGCGUCGCCAAGUGAGAGCUGGAAUUUCAACUGCAGACCAUCAAACCCAAAAUACAAUCUUGGGUUUUCCAGCACAAGUCUUUCAUCCUGCUGUGUUGCCACCACACUCAUUUAUCAGAAGCCUUGAACGUUUCCUAUCACCAUUUUGAAAAUGAGAACAAGCUACUCUAUGUCACCCUCCUGUUGCUGGCUGAUGUUUUUGUAAACUGUUCCUUGUAAGAGCCUUGCACGUGACAGACUCCAGCCCUGAGAACAGCACAGCCUCUUGACAGCAGCACUCUCAACCCUUCUGGGCUUUCAAGCUGGCAUGCCCCGUGUUUAUGGAGCCGUGCUGAAAAGCAGAGAACUUCAGCCCAGGACCGAAGCACUGUGCCGGCCCGAGGGCCCUUCCAGAGGAAUUCUUGAGGCUCUGCGGCACGCUGGAUAAAGGGAGAUGACAGAGUGCCUCCCCCUUACGUAAGGCUGCAGCUCCCUGCCAGCCCCUGGGGCCGAGGAGAGCCCUUCAUGUGACCCUCAGCCAUCCCCAGCAGCCCGGUAUUAAUGUGAGACAUAAAGCCUGCACGUUACAUAAGCGUCUCUCCUGGCCAAGUGUUUCCUGCUGCAGAAACCGAGGUUUAAUUUUAACUUGCUGCUUAAAAAAAUGAAACGUUCUGUGGGUAGGAGGAAGUGUAGGGGUGGGAACGGAGGUUAUUCGUGUGCCAGCAGGAAUGUGCCAGAAAGAUCAGCGAUGUGUUUCUGUUCGAUUUACGUGGCCAACUUAAGUCUGACAGCAUCUGUGCCCAAGUGCUCCAAGACCCAUUCAACGCUUUGCCUAAUGCAGCCAACAGGAGAAUUGCAAACGUCAUGAAAUGCUUUUUAAUUACGCCAUUGCUGCCCAGUAAAACACUGGCUUUUAAAGGUGUCCUAUAAACAAUAGUGUAGUUUUAAUUUACUUAGAAAUGCACUGACCUGGCAUUUUGACUUAGUCUGAAGGACAGAGAGUGGAAAAUGCAGUUUCAGCAUUUAAAAACGUGAGGGAAGCAGAUGACUGUCAGUGUGACCACCUAAGGCGUUAGAGCUGAAACCCCUGACGUGCCGGAUGGGGAGUUGGUGUUGUGUGGGACUGUAGCCUGUUUCAAUGUGCUGAAUUUUCCUGAUAAAUCUGAAAAGUCAUCAGGCUUUCCUCUGGCCUACCCGCAGCAGUGUGAGGUUUUUGGGAUGGCCAAUUCCCCUUGGGGCAUGGGGGAAUCCCUGGAGGUCAUGCUGCCUGUCCUGCGCCCCCUCCAAAAUCUGGCUUCUUACUGACCUAAACAGAGCCAGAUUUUUGUGUGAAAAUUAUACCCUGGGACAGCAAUUUCUGCCAUAAAGAGCACUGGGAUGUGACUAUAUCUGCCUGCCAAGGGUUUCUUAAAAAAACUGCAGGUUUUUUACCUCAGAAGUUUAGUUUUUUUUACCUCAGCCGCCCAUAGCAUCACCUGAGGGGUGCCCCUCCUUUGCCCACCAGUUGCCCUCACCCAGUCUAGUCAGAAAUUACUAAUAAAUAUGAAGAAAUA